GACGAACGCUGGCGGCGUGCUUAACACAUGCAAGUCGAACGGAAAGGCCCUGCUCUUGUUCGUUGCUCGAGUGCCGCGCGCGGGUGAAAAACAUGUGUAUCCCCCCCCUGUCUUUCGGGUAUCUCCUGGAAACUCCGGCUAUUAUACGAUAUGAGCUUCUGCUCCGUGGUGGUCUUUGGAAAGUUUCGGCGGUUCGGGAUGGACUCGCGGCUUCUCCGCCUGUUGGUGGGGUAGUGGCUUACCAAGGCUUUGACGGGUAGCCGGCCUGAGAGGGUUACCGGCCACCAUGGGACUGAGAGACGGCACAGACGGCAACGGGACGCAGUAGUGGGGAAUAUUGCAGAAUGGGGGGAAGCCUGAGACAGCAACGCCGCGUGCGGGAUGACGGCUUUCGGGUUGUAAACCGAUUUGGCCGGUGACGAGGAGUGAGUGACGGUAACGGGUAAAGAAGCAACGGCUAACUACGUG
Molecule: ribosomal RNA, 468 nt
Filed under: uncultured bacterium
Lineage: Bacteria
Description: partial 16S ribosomal RNA
Rfam family: Bacterial small subunit ribosomal RNA
Source: RNAcentral